Molecule: ribosomal RNA, 553 nt
Filed under: Bacillus sp. EGU87
Lineage: Bacteria; Bacillati; Bacillota; Bacilli; Caryophanales; Bacillaceae
Description: bacterial SSU rRNA
Rfam family: Bacterial small subunit ribosomal RNA
Source: RNAcentral
GGGCGGGUGCUAUACAUGCAAGUCGAGCGGAUUGAUGGGAGCUUGCUCCCUGAUAUCAGCGGCGGACGGGUGAGUAACACGUGGGUAACCUGCCUGUAAGACUGGGAUAACUCCGGGAAACCGGGGCUAAUACCGGAUAACUCAUUUCCUCGCAUGAGGAAAUGUUGAAAGGUGGCUUUUACCUACCACUUACAGAUGGACCCGCGGCGCAUUACCUAGUUGGUGAGGUAACGGCUCACCAAGGCAACGAUGCGUAGCCAACCUGAAAGGGUGAUCGGCCACACUGGGACUGAAACACGGCCCAAACUCCUACGGGAGGCAGCAGUAGGGAAUCUUCCGCAAUGGACGAAAGUCUGACGGACCAACGCCGCGUGAGUGAUGAAGGUUUUCGGAUCGUAAAGCUCUGUUGUUAGGGAAAAACAAGUGCCGUUCGAAUAGGGGCGGCACCUUGACGGUACCUACCCAAAAAGCCACGGCUAACUACGUGCCAGCACCGCGGGUAAUACGUAGGUGGCAAGCGUGUCCCGAAAUUAUGGGGCGUAAAGCGCGCGCA